GCUACAUUGGCAGAUUAGUGCAGUAAAUUUAGAAUUUAUAUAUAUGAUUUUUAAAUUAUAUGUAGUA
RNAcentral lists this transfer RNA (67 nucleotides) under Ips grandicollis. Its description in RNAcentral is "tRNA-Leu". Lineage: Eukaryota; Metazoa; Arthropoda; Insecta; Coleoptera; Curculionidae. The record is from RNAcentral.